Molecule: ribosomal RNA, 1415 nt
Filed under: uncultured bacterium
Lineage: Bacteria
Description: 16S ribosomal RNA
Rfam family: Bacterial small subunit ribosomal RNA
Source: RNAcentral
UUUAGUGGCAAACGGGUGAGUAACACGUAGGUAAUCUACCGCGCACAGAGGGAUAACUCCGAGAAAUCGGAGCUAAUACCCGAUGGUUCCCAAAAAGUGAAAUUCUUUUUGGGAUAAAUGUUUCGGGGCAACUCGGGAUGGUGUGCGAUGAGCCUGCGGCCUAUCAGCUUGUUGGUAGGGUAAUGGCUUACCAAGGCGAUGACGGGUAGCUGGUCUGAAAGGACGGUCAGCCACAGGGGAACUGAGACACGGUCCCCACUCCUACGGGAGGCAGCAGUGAGGAAUUUUGGACAAUGGGGAAAACCCUGAUCCAGCGACGCCGCGUGGAGGAUGAAGGUCUUCGGAUUGUAAACUCCUUUUGUCCCGGACGAUUCCUGACGGUACGGGACGAAUAAGCCACGGCUAACUACGUGCCAGCAGCCGCGGUAAUACGUAGGUGGCGAGCGUUGCUCGGAAUUACUAGGCGUAAAGCGCGUGUAGGCGUUUCGGUAAGUCUUGGUUGAAAUUUUUCGGCUCAACCGAAAAACGGGCGAAGAAACUGCCGGGAUUGAGUGUGGGAGAGGGAGCUGGAAUUCCCGGUGUAGCGGUGAAAUGCGCAGAGAUCGGGAGGAACACCAAUAGCGAAGGCAGGCUCCUGGACCAUUAGUGACGCUGAGAGGCGAAAGCUAGGGGAGCAAACAGGAUUAGAUACCCUGGUAGUCCUAGCCGUAAACGAUGCUCACUGGAUAUGGGAGGUGUCGACCCCUUCCGUGUCGUAGUUGACGCGUUAAGUGAGCCGCCUGGGGAGUACGGCCGCAAGGUUGAAACUCAAAGGAAUUGACGGGGGCCCGCACAAGCGGUGGAGCAUGUGGUUUAAUUCGACGCAACGCGAAGAACCUUACCUGGGCUUGAACUGCUGGUAGUAAGGACCCGAAAGGGGAAUGAUUCCGACGAAAGUUGGAGAGCCAGCAGAGGUGCUGCAUGGUUGUCGUCAGCUCGUGUCGUGAGAUGUUGGGUUAAGUCCCGCAACGAGCGCAACCCUCAUUCUCUGUUGCUACUUCCCGAUUUAUCGGGAAAGCACUCUGAGGAAACUGCCCCGGAUAACGGGGAGGAAGGCGGGGACGACGUCAAAUCAGCAUGGCCUUUAUGUCCAGGGCUACACACGUGCUACAAUGGCUGAUACAACGGGAAGCAAGACCGUAAGGUGGAGCAAAUCCCUUAAAACCAGCCCCAGUUCAGAUUGAGGGCUGCAAUUCGCCCUCAUGAAGGCGGAAUCGCUAGUAAUCGCAGAUCAGCAGGCUGCGGUGAAUACGUUCCCGGGCCUUGUACACACCGCCCGUCACAUCACGAAAGCCGGUGAUUGCUGAAUCCUUCCAAAUAAAUUCGGGAGAACAAGCGAUGAUCGGUAAUUGGGAUGAAGUCGUAACAAGGUAACC